Molecule: ribosomal RNA, 488 nt
Filed under: uncultured bacterium
Lineage: Bacteria
Description: bacterial SSU rRNA
Rfam family: Bacterial small subunit ribosomal RNA
Source: RNAcentral
AACUAACGCUGGCGGCGUGCCUAACACAUGCAAGUCGUACGAGAAAGCCGGCUUCGGCUGGUGAGUAAAGUGGCGCACGGGUGAGUAAUGCGUGGAUAAUCUGCCCUUUAGUUGGGAAUAACGUACCGAAAGGUGCGCUAAUACCUGAUAAUACUGCAUAACUACUGUUGUGUAGUCAAAGAAGGCCUCUGUUUACAAGCUUUUGCUGAAGGAUGAGUCCGCGUACCAUUAGCUGGUUGGUGGGGUAAUGGCCUACCAAGGCUACGAUGGUUAGCUGGUCUGAGAGGAUGAUCAGCCACACUGGAACUGAGACACGGUCCAGACUCCUACGGGAGGCAGCAGUGAGGAAUAUUGCGCAAUGGGGGCAACCCUGACGCAGCAACGCCGCGUGAGUGAGGAAGGUUUUCGGACCGUAAAGCUCUGUCGAGCGGGAAGAAAUGUAUCAUGGCUAAUAUCCAUGAUACUUGACGGUACCGCUAAAGGAGACG